Molecule: ribosomal RNA, 468 nt
Filed under: uncultured bacterium
Lineage: Bacteria
Description: partial 16S ribosomal RNA
Rfam family: Bacterial small subunit ribosomal RNA
Source: RNAcentral
GACGAACGCUGGCGGCGUGCUUAACACAUGCAAGUCGAACGGAAAGGCCCUGCUUUUGUUGGGUUCUCGAUUGGCGCGCAGGUGAGUAACACGUGAGUAACCUGCCCUUUACUUUCGGAUAACUUCAGGAAACUGGGGCUAAUACCGGAUAUGAUCUCCUGCUCCAUGGUGGUGGUUGGAAAGUUUCGGCGGUUGGGGAUGGACUCGCUGCUUAUCAGCUUGUUGGUGUGGUAGUGGCUUACCCAGGCUUUGAAGGGUAGCCGGCCUGAGAGGGUGACCGGCCACAAUGGGACUGAGAGACGGCCCAGACUGCUACGGGAGGCAGCAGUGGGGAGUAUGGCACAAUGGGCGGAAGCCUGAGGCAGAAACGCCGGGUGCGGGAUGACGGGCUUAGGGGUGUAAACCGCUGUCGCAGGUGACGAAGAGUGAGUGACGGUAAUGGGUAAAGAAGCACCGGCUAACUACGUG